Molecule: long non-coding RNA, 1697 nt
Organism: Peromyscus leucopus (white-footed mouse)
Lineage: Eukaryota; Metazoa; Chordata; Mammalia; Rodentia; Cricetidae
Exons: 3
Source: RefSeq, a predicted model, not a curated record
GAUAUCUUCGCUGACGUGAGCCAAACGGGAGGCUUCCUCCCCUUCCUCCUUCCUCCCCAGGCAGUGACCUUGCAAGCUCAUCAGCAGACUGGUCCAGCGUGGGGGAGAACUGGAGCAAGCAAGCCAGGGAUGGCUAGGACUGAGGAAGGAGGAGAGAGCACGAGGAAGAAGAAUGGAGCUGCGGGAGGAUGGAGAGGGGCGCAGUUGCAGCAGAGAUGAAAUGGUGCGCCUAGUCUUCAGCAAGUCAAUACUGAAGAACGGAAUACAGCUUUUAAUUCGACUUGGUUAUGGAGCCCGUCUUGAUGAAACAGUGGUUAACAUGAAGGUACUUCGUAAAAUCAACUGCCCCUAAGACUUUCUGACAGUUUCUUCAAACCUCAUCUGGCUCCCCCUGCACGCUGUUUGGACGUGCCCAGCCGCCCCGGCAGGAAAGCCAACUAGUCGGCCGCCGGACUCUACCAAUUCUGGAUGGCGGGGGCAUUUAUGCCAGGUAUCACCUACACCAAGGUAGGGGGAAGCGGGAACGGUGCCGCGAUGCCCGCUGGGAAAUGGAGUCCAAUCUUUUUGACAACUCAGACACUUGUCAUCCUCCACGAGCCUCCGGGGACUUUUUCUUCGAGUCCCCCCAGGGCCCAGAGCCCGAAGGGAAGUAUUACCCGGCCCGGGGUCUUGAAGGCUGUACUCCUUGUCAGAUGCCAGUGUUAAAAGUAAGACGUUACACGCACACGUGAAGCGUACUGCUGAGUUAUUGCUGAAGCUCCAACUCCUCCCCAGACAGUACGAGCACCUGCUUCUGCCUUGAUCAUUAAAGGGGAAGGUGCCCCAAAGCCUAAGCAUUUCUCUUAUGCCGCGGGCCUAGUGAACAAAAAAAGCUGUCACUUGUGAUUUUUGUCCCACUCCUGAAUAUGGAGGCAGGUUUUAAUGGACACAGGCUUCCUCCACCGCAGCACCCCUACCCUCGAUCCAGAAACUGGUUUCCCUAUCUUGGCCUUUCUGUUCCAAGCGCCAGACCUAUUGGUGAAACAGCCCCGAGGCAGUUACAGCCAAGCUGCAGAAUGAUAGCGGAGAAUUUCUUUGGGGCCCUAUGGGGAAAAACAGGAAGUGGUAGAGACAAGAUGGGCAGGGCCCUGAAGAACCCUGUGCAAAGUGGCCUUCCUGGCUAGUUUAUUUGGUUGGGUCAAUAAGGGCUUCAGAUGUGCACUACGUUAGUAGGUCCCCAACUGCCCAGCAGCCACAGAACACCCAGCCCUUUGACGCUCCUUUAAUGCCAUGCAAGGAUCUCCUUCGCCCAGCUCCCAGGAAUGUUUGCCCUUCUCAGUCUGCUCCACCUCUAGGAAGCAGUCCGUAAGCCUCAGUCGUGUGUCCCAAAGCCCAGAGGACAUGGAGGAAGAACCGCGGUCAUUCGUGGACAUCCCAGAUCUCAGACAGCAGCGGGGGAAGCUUUUUGUCCUGCAGGCGAAGCGCAAACACUUGCUCUGAAUGGACGCUGCUCAAUGUCCGGAGGCUCACCAACUUCAUUAGCAUCCGUGGGAACAUCAGUCGGUCCUGGAAAAAAAAGAGUGAAAGAAGAAAGAAAGAAAGAAGUCUAGCUGUUGCUCUUCCCUAGAGAAGAGAAGAUGCUGAUGGCGAUGAGCAAGGCAAACUCGGCAUCGUUGAGCUGCAGUUCGUUCAUGGCUCUGGAGAACUCAAAGAUGGGA